UGUGGCUAAUACCCACGGGACUUGAUUGUACCCGCAGAGGAAGCCCCGGCUAACUCUGUGCCAGCAGCCGCGGUAAUACAGAGGGGGCAAGCGUUAUUCGGAAUUAUUGGGCGUAAAGGGCGCGUAGGCGGCUUUUCAAGUGGCGGGUGAAAUCCCUCGGCUUAACCGAGGAACUGCCUGCCAAACUGAAUGGCUUGAGACCGGGAGAGGUGAGUGGAAUUCCCAGUGUAGCGGUGAAAUGCGUAGAUAUUGGGAGGAACACCAGUGGCGAAGGCGGCUCACUGGACCGGUACUGACGCUGAGGCGCGAAAGCGUGGGGAGCAAACAGGAUUAGAUACCCUGGUAGUCCACGCCGUAAACGAUGAGUGCUUGGUGUAGCGGGUAUCGACCCCUGCUGUGCCGAAGUCAACACAUUAAGCACUCCGCCUGGGGAGUACGGUCGCAAGACUGAAACUCAAAGGAAUUGACGGGGGCCCGCACAAGCGGUGGAGCAUGUGGUUCCAUUCGAAGCAACGCGCAGAACCUUACCUGGUUUGAACUGCAGUGGAAAGGCUCAGAGAUGAUCCCCCUCU
Molecule: ribosomal RNA, 572 nt
Filed under: uncultured Anaeromyxobacter sp.
Lineage: Bacteria; Pseudomonadati; Myxococcota; Myxococcia; Myxococcales; Anaeromyxobacteraceae
Description: bacterial SSU rRNA
Rfam family: Bacterial small subunit ribosomal RNA
Source: RNAcentral